This 76-nucleotide transfer RNA is filed under the name Bacillota bacterium. RNAcentral's name for it is "Firmicutes bacterium (anaerobic digester metagenome) tRNA-Arg". It matches the Rfam family "tRNA". From Rfam's summary of the family: Transfer RNA (tRNA) molecules are approximately 80 nucleotides in length. Lineage: Bacteria; Bacillati; Bacillota. The record is from RNAcentral.
GCGCCUGUAGCUCAGGGGAUAGAGCAGCUGACUUCUAAUCAGCUGGCCGCAGGUUCGAUUCCUGCCAGGCGCGCCA